UUGCCUUUUUGUGGUUAUUAAGAAAG
Molecule: non-coding RNA, 26 nt
Filed under: Mus musculus (house mouse)
Lineage: Eukaryota; Metazoa; Chordata; Mammalia; Rodentia; Muridae
Source: RNAcentral